UAUCAUUCCAUCCUCUCACAUGGUCUGUACAGCAGCUUGAAGCUUUUUAUGAUAGCUAAACUUUUAUGAUACUGCAAUAAAUUUGCGCCCUGAAUCUAUGGGUCAAUACUGCUGACAGGACUUAAGGCAGAGAGAAAUUGAUGGCAUAGAAAUGAAACUGUCUAAAGGCAUCAUUCUCCUUUUUCUGGGAUUGUUUUUUAAGGUUGCUGUGGCAGGGUAUUCCACACAGGUGUACUGGUUAGAGCUUGAAAUCGAGUCAUCGGUGUAUGACUAUGUUGUUGAGCUUCUGAUGGAGCAGACACACAUAGACAUUGCUAAUGCAAUUGUAACAGACAUCAAAAACACAACAGAUUGCACACUGAAAGAUAAGAAAAAUAUUUGUUUAUGCAUGCCGGGAUACAAAUGGAGUGAGGACAUGUGCAAAAAUCAUGGCUGCUGCAAUAACAGCUGCACGCUAAAUCUUAAUGACAUUGCUGUGUGUCUGCCUGAAACAAGAGUAAGCAUCAAUGGAUUAACUGAAUUUAAUAGGGUUUGCAGGUAUUUAUGCUACCCAAGCAAAAAAGGUUCUCAAGAUUACAAUGC
Molecule: long non-coding RNA, 582 nt
Organism: Cyprinus carpio carpio
Lineage: Eukaryota; Metazoa; Chordata; Actinopteri; Cypriniformes; Cyprinidae
Source: Ensembl